UGGGGAAUAUUGGACAAUGGGCGAAAGCCUGAUCCAGCAAUACCGCGUGUGUGAAGAAGGCCUGCGGGUUGUAAAGCACUUUCAGUAGGGAAGAAAAGCCUAGGGUUAAUAACCCUGGGUCUUGACGUUACCUACAGAAGAAGCACCGGCUAACUCAGUGCCAGCAGCCGCGGUAAUACUGAGGGUGCAAGCGUUAAUCGGAAUUACUGGGCGUAAAGCGCGCGUAGGCGGCCUGUUAAGUCAGAUGUGAAAGCCCUGGGCUCAACCUGGGAACUGCAUUUGAUACUGGCAAGCUAGAGUGUGGUAGAGGGAAGUGGAAUUCCGGGUGUAGCGGUGAAAUGCGUAGAUAUCCGGAGGAACAUCAGUGGCGAAGGCGGCUUCCUGGACCAACACUGACGCUGAGGUGCGAAAGCGUGGGUAGCAAACA
Molecule: ribosomal RNA, 427 nt
Filed under: uncultured bacterium
Lineage: Bacteria
Description: bacterial SSU rRNA
Rfam family: Bacterial small subunit ribosomal RNA
Source: RNAcentral